UACGUAGGGUGCGAGCGUUAAUCGGAGUUACUGGGCGUAAAGCGUGCGCAGGCGGUGAUGUAAGACAGUUGUGAAAUCCCCGGGCUCAACCUGGGAACUGCAUCUGUGACUGCAUCGCUGGAGUGCGGCAGAGGGGGAUGGAAUUCCGCGUGUAGCAGUGAAAUGCGUAGAUAUGCGGAGGAACACCGAUGGCGAAGGCAAUCCCCUGGGCCUGCACUGACGCUCAUGCACGAAAGCGUGGGGAGCAAACAGG
RNAcentral lists this ribosomal RNA (253 nucleotides) under uncultured bacterium. RNAcentral's name for it is "partial 16S ribosomal RNA". It matches the Rfam family "Bacterial small subunit ribosomal RNA", at positions 524 to 776 of the family's 1533-position model. The record is from RNAcentral.